AUUGAACGCUGGCGGCAUGCCUUACACAUGCAAGUCGAACGGCAGCACGGGAGCAAUCCUGGUGGCGAGUGGCGAACGGGUGAGUAAUAUAUCGGAACGUGCCCAGUAGUGGGGGAUAGCCCGGCGAAAGCCGGAUUAAUACCGCAUACGACCUGUGGGUGAAAGCGGGGGAUCGCAAGACCUCGCGCUAUUGGAGCGGCCGAUAUCAGAUUAGCUUGUUGGUGGGGUAAAGGCUCACCAAGCCAACGAUCUGUAGCUGGUCUGAGAGGACGACCAGCCACACUGGAACUGAGACACGGUCCAGACUCCUACGGGAGGCAGCAGUGGGGAAUUUUGGACAAUGGACGCAAGUCUGAUCCAGCCAUUCCGCGUGCAGGAUGAAGGCCCUCGGGUUGUAAACUGCUUUUGUACGGAACGAAAAGGUCUCUAUUAAUACUAGGGGCUCAUGACGGUACCGUAAGAAUAAGCACCGGCUAACUACGUG
Molecule: ribosomal RNA, 484 nt
Filed under: uncultured bacterium
Lineage: Bacteria
Description: bacterial SSU rRNA
Rfam family: Bacterial small subunit ribosomal RNA
Source: RNAcentral